GGGGCUGUAGCUCAGUGGUGGAGCGCUUACCUCGCAUGUAUGAGGCACUGGGUUUGAUCCUUAGCACCA
This 69-nucleotide transfer RNA is filed under the name Marmota marmota marmota (Alpine marmot). It matches the Rfam family "tRNA". Rfam says of the family: Transfer RNA (tRNA) molecules are approximately 80 nucleotides in length. Lineage: Eukaryota; Metazoa; Chordata; Mammalia; Rodentia; Sciuridae. The record is from Rfam by way of RNAcentral. RNAcentral also lists the same sequence under 1 other name.